This is an RNA transcript of Magnolia sinica, 2707 nucleotides long. RefSeq lists it as uncharacterized. The transcript is spliced from 5 exons. Lineage: Eukaryota; Viridiplantae; Streptophyta; Magnoliopsida; Magnoliales; Magnoliaceae. The record is from RefSeq and is a predicted model, not a curated record.
UCUUCUUUCUGUUUUUAUUCCAGAAUCCCUUCCAUCUGUCAUUGCUUUUUCUCUUUUCUUCUUGUGAUGUUGUAAGCACAAAAAUGUUUGGGUUUGGGUUGAUGAAAGCAUAGAUCAGUAUAAGCCUCAUGCUGCGUGGAUCAACUUGAAUGCUUGGGUUGAUGAAAGCAUAGAUCAGAGGAUCAGGCUUGCCAAAGGCCUGUUGGGACGUGUGGAUUUCUCACAAACUCCAAUGUGGGACCCACCCACCAUCCCUGAGCAGGAACUUCCUGCGAGAGUCUUUAGCAGGAAAUCUGCGUCCGUUUCCUGUAAUAAUAAUGUGGGCCCUCAUAAUGUUGUAUUGGAUGAAUCCCAUCACUUCAGUCCAAAUCCCACGACGCCUAACCGAUAUUUACUGGAAAACCUUCAAUUCAGGUAGGCUGGUCCAUAUAUUGAACUGAAGCCAGCCCCACAUGCAGGCUUUGCAUUUUCAAAGUUUUGGGUUUGCAUUGCCUAGGCCCCAUGUGGUCUCUACAUGUGUGCCUGAGUUCCAGGCAAAAUAGUUGAUUGGGGAUGGCCUCAAUGGCCUUAUUUAACAAAGUGGGCUAUGUAUUUGGUUACUGGGCCUAUCCAAAUCUCGAUUCCAUAGCUCAUUGAUUAAGAUUGAAAACUAGGUUAGGUUGGCUUGUGCUGGGACCCCGAUCCCAAACCAACUAACCCAACUCAAGUUGACUGAGGGCAUUGACAGAGAAUUAAAUAUCCCCACCUUGGAAGAAUCAGGUUAGGCAAGUGGGAUUGGGUUGAGCCUGGCCCAAGUUGAAGCCUUAGUCAUGGUUUGGGCUGAAGUCAGUAGCUUAUGCCUUUCGCUCAGUCACUGCACCUAUAAUUUUAAUAAAAGAAAAAUCCAUAUAAAUUAGAGAAACCAUCUUCAUGCCGAGAUCGGACAAUGCCUUAAUGAAUGCAUUGCCAUACAAAUGAAAGAAUUCUGUCACUGAGAGAACCCUGCUAAUACUGUUCAGGGAAUUCUUACCACCACAAACCUCCACACACCUUUCGUAGCUCAAAGACUGCUCAAAUCGAGCAUAAAUAUUCUCGUGAAGACUUAGAAUAGAUUUCUAAGGCUACCAUACAUAGAUUGAAUGUGCAGAUAGAAACUAGCUCAGGAACAACCUUAGAGAUGGUGAUGAUUCAAGAAAGGGUUGCAAGAUUGUUCUUUUGACACAGGUUGUUGCCCCUGUUUGGGUAACUUGUGCUCAAGCACUAGGUGCCACACUUAAGUACAUGCAUCCUUCAGUAGUUCAUGAAACACUGAAUAUCUUACUACAGAUGCAGUGUAGACAAGAAUGGGAAAUUCGUCAUGAACCCUUUUGGGGAUCAAAUAUUUGGUUGCUGUUCGAAGGGUAUGGUGCUUCAUAUAUUCUACGUACCUUAUUCUUUUAUUUUACUAUGGAGUAGUGUUUCCCGUGCAUGUUUGACAAUUGUUAUGGUCGGUACUUGGUAAAUCUGCAGACAUCAACUCUAGGUGUAUGGUGUUGCAAGCAUGACAAUUAGGUGCUGGUAAAAAAAAAUUGUUAGGGCCUCUCCUGCUAUUCACAUGUCAUGUAACCUUCUUUUGGUUAUGUAACUUGAACCGGACUCGGACUCGUUGAAAAGAGGAUAGCAAGAUCAAGGCCUUAGUUGAUACGCCUGCUCUGGAUUGGCCAUGGCAAAAUCAGGAAGCAUUUGGCCCUGGAAGAGGUUUUGGAAGGGGUGGGAUGGGUGGUAGGAUGAUGGCGGGACGUGGCUUUGAUAAUUCUCUUCCAUAGUUUUAGAACAUCAUGACACGCAAUGGGAUUUUGAUGAAGCCUUGUUAUGAGAUCUGGACUGUUCAUCUAUUGUCCCUGCCUUGAAUGUGCCAUACUUCAAAAAUCAGAUGUUCCUAGCCUCUGAUCAAGAGACAUAAUUCCUAUCUAAUGUUGACAUUUGGCUGGAGGUGUAAUUCUCAGAAGCAUCCAAUCAGUGGCUUGGAUCACCCAAACAGUGUGAUUUUCAGGCUGUGCCCCAUAUGUCAUAGGGUCCAAUAAUGCAAGGCACGAUUGUUCCAAUGCUUGAAGUUGUGAUGGCUGUUGUCCCUGUUGAGAAGCUUGUUGUACAUUUCCAUGACACAUGGGCAAUCUCUUUCAAGUAUUCUCAUCUCCCUCCAAGCAAAACUUGAAUAAAUUUGUUGUACUAAGCCCAUCCCUUUCCUCUUUGGUCGGGUGAUCCCCACAAUGAUAAAUGUACAUGUCAAAAAUCAGCCUGAUAAAAAACUCAGGUGGGCCACAUGAAGUGAAUUUAUAAAUUUUAGUCCUGAUUUUACAUUGUUCACAAGGUGGGACUCACCUAAGAUUUUGAUCUAUAUGAUUUUUGUCAUGUACGAUGGACAAAGGAGAGAUGUUAAUUACAAAUACUUCACUGUGGGUUCCAUAGAGAUUGGGUGUUCUUGAUGCAUAUAUUUUUAGUUUGGACUGCUAGACAUUUUUGUAACCACCCAUUUUUGUACUGUAUCAUGAAUGAUGGGACACACCUAAUGAACAGCCCAAAUCUUGCACAGAAGUGGACAGCUUGUUUUAGGACUGUUUGUUUUGGCCCAUCAUAUGCCCUUUCAAGGCUCGUCCUAGCCCAUUGACAGCCAUAACGAUGACAAUGACAAGGACAACGACAAUGAUCAUUAUGAUGAUCUCUGUACGUAUUAAUUGUUCACCCACAA